This 191-nucleotide unclassified non-coding RNA is filed under the name fungal sp. Its description in RNAcentral is "partial internal transcribed spacer region". The stretch from base 1 to 46 matches the Rfam family "Eukaryotic small subunit ribosomal RNA", at positions 1786 to 1831 of the family's 1831-position model. Lineage: Eukaryota; Fungi. The record is from RNAcentral.
AAGUCGUAACAAGGUUUCCGUAGGUGAACCUGCGGAAGGAUCAUUACCGAUUUGAGCGAGCCUGGUCUCUUGACCAUGGUUUCGCGAAAACUUUGUAUUUAAAACCCCACUCUUGUUAAUUAUAAAAUAUAAAUGCUUAUAUUAUGACAAUAAAAUAAAGAUCACUUUCAACAACGGAUCUCUUGGCUCUC